AGCGAACGCUGGCGGCAGGCCUAACACAUGCAAGUCGAACGGACCCUUCGGGGUUAGUGGCGGACGGGUGAGUAACACGUGGGAACGUGCCUUUAGGUUCGGAAUAGCUCCUGGAAACGGGUGGUAAUGCCGAUUGUGCCCUUCGGGGGAAAGAUUUAUCGCCUUUAGAGCGGCCCGCGUCUGAUUAGCUAGUUGGUGAGGUAACGGCUCACCAAGGCGACGAUCAGUAGCUGGUCUGAGAGGAUGACCAGCCACACUGGGACUGAGACACGGCCCAGACUCCUACGGGAGGCAGCAGUGGGGAAUCUUGCGCAAUGGGCGAAAGCCUGACGCAGCCAUGCCGCGUGAAUGAUGAAGGUCUUAGGAUUGUAAAAUUCUUUCACCGGGGACGAUAAUGACGGUACCCGGAGAAGAAGCCCCGGCUAACUUCGUG
RNAcentral lists this ribosomal RNA (433 nucleotides) under uncultured bacterium. Its description in RNAcentral is "partial 16S ribosomal RNA". It matches the Rfam family "Bacterial small subunit ribosomal RNA", at positions 29 to 507 of the family's 1533-position model. The record is from RNAcentral.